AUGAAGACAGGGGAUCUUGCAGCGAGGAUGAGCUUGUGCGCAGCAAAAGACUUGCCACACACAAGAAACGUGACAUCUGCUCCCGUCUUGCUCCGCAGGAGUUCAGCAAGGUGUCUGUGCAAGUUUGAGGAUGGCACUGGCACUUCUUUGACCGGGUCCGUAGCCGGUAGUUCCUUGAGAACGUCAAUGGUGCAUUGCACAGUAAAAGAAUCACCCCUAAGAUAA
This 225-nucleotide ribosomal RNA is filed under the name Triticum aestivum (bread wheat). Its description in RNAcentral is "partial small subunit ribosomal RNA". Lineage: Eukaryota; Viridiplantae; Streptophyta; Magnoliopsida; Poales; Poaceae. The record is from RNAcentral.